Molecule: long non-coding RNA, 245 nt
Organism: Enhydra lutris kenyoni (northern sea otter)
Lineage: Eukaryota; Metazoa; Chordata; Mammalia; Carnivora; Mustelidae
Exons: 2
Source: RefSeq, a predicted model, not a curated record
ACCUUGGUGCCAUGAAGGUGCAGCCAGUGAGAAGUUCAGGGGCAUAAUCCUGCAGUGGUUUGCUGGGUCAAAUACUGGCUUUGGCUUACAGAUGGAACCAUGACUGGUGAUGGUUGCAGGAAGCACAUGGGACGGGGUCAAAGGCUUUGAGGCAGCGGCUUCGGGCCAACAACUCAGGACGUGUCUGCCAAGCUUUACUGAGGUAUAAUGGACAUACAAUAAAGUGCAUCUGUUUAGACAUCCAA